CUUUUGCAUAGCGAAGUAGAUUCACUGCCAUUGAAAAGGAGUGCAUGGCGGUGGUGUGGGCCCUCAAAAAGCUGCAACCUACUUGUAUGGACAACCGUUUACCUUACUCACAGAUCACAACAAAUUUGGGGCACUGCGCGUGCAAUCUAAUGUGCCACCAGAUAGGAGUGGUGUGUUUAGUACUAUUGUUAUCAGUUUAAUCACUGUUACGUCCCCUAUCCAUUGAUGUGGAGCAAGACGCAGCAGCAGAAGAGGACUAAGCCGAGGAGGUUAUGGAAGAGGAUGGAGUAGGAGGAGUAGAGGAGGUGGCAGCGUACUGGCAGAGUACACGCUGUAGGGCUGACACACCUGCUUGAAGAUAACUAACUGCUAUUCAAUCUAUAACAGUGAAAAAAGUUUUUUGUUUUU
Non-coding RNA from Pelobates cultripes (western spadefoot toad), 408 nucleotides. The record is from the annotation of a GenBank genome assembly. NCBI's taxonomy places the organism in Eukaryota, Metazoa, Chordata, Amphibia, Anura, Pelobatidae.